AGAGUUUGAUCCUGGCUCAGGAUGAACGCUGGCGGUCUGCUUAACACAUGCAAGUCGAACGCAAGUAGCAAUACUUGAGUGGCGGACGGGUGAGUAACGCGUGAGAAUCUGCCUUUUGGUCGGGGACAACCAUUGGAAACGAUGGCUAAUACCCGAUGUGCCUAUGGGUGAAAGAUUUAUUGCCAGAAGAGGAGCUCGCGUCUGAUUAGCUAGUUGGUAGGGUAAAAGCCUACCAAGGCAUCGAUCAGUAGCUGGUCUGAGAGGAUGACCAGCCACACUGGGACUGAGACACGGCCCAGACUCCUACGGGAGGCAGCAGUGGGGAAUUUUCCGCAAUGGGCGAAAGCCUGACGGAGCAAGACCGCGUGAGGGAGGAAGGCUCUUGGGUCGUAAACCUCUUUUGUCAGGGAAGAACACAAUGACGGUACCUGACGAAUCAGCCUCGGCUAACUCCGUGCCAGCAGCCGCGGUAAUACGGAGGAGGCAAGCGUUAUCCGGAAUUAUUGGGCGUAAAGCGUCCGCAGGUGGCACCUCAAGUCUGCUGUCAAAGACCGGGGCUUAACCCCAGAAAGGCAGUGGAAACUGAAGUGCUAGAGUGCAGUAGGGGUAGAGGGAAUUCCCGGUGUAGCGGUGAAAUGCGUAGAGAUCGGGAAGAACAUCGGUGGCGAAAGCCUCUGCUGGACUGCAACUGACACUCAGGGACGAAAGCUAGGGGAGCGAAUGGGAUUAGAUACCCUAGUAGUCC
This 745-nucleotide ribosomal RNA is filed under the name uncultured bacterium. RNAcentral describes it as "bacterial SSU rRNA". It matches the Rfam family "Bacterial small subunit ribosomal RNA", at positions 8 to 796 of the family's 1533-position model. The record is from RNAcentral.